RNAcentral lists this long non-coding RNA (2592 nucleotides) under Nicotiana tabacum (common tobacco). RNAcentral's name for it is "long non-coding RNA (NTAB_LNC004476)". The record is from RNAcentral. Lineage: Eukaryota; Viridiplantae; Streptophyta; Magnoliopsida; Solanales; Solanaceae.
GGAACUCAUAUGAAAUAUAUCACAAAAAUUUACAAAGGUUACAAGAUGAUCUUACAACUACUACAUGGCCUCCUUUAUAUAGGACUAGGAGGUUAUUACAAGACAAACUUAUAUUAUAAAAUAAACCUAUCUUACAUGGUAAACCUAUCUACAAGUGGGUCUCUUUUUACAUGUGAAGGACCUUAGGCAAAACAACUAAAAAAACUCCUGAAAGCAUGUGAAAGAGGUGAAAUAUACAUGGUAUAGCAUGUAAAAGUAUGUAGGAGCAUGUGAAAGCAUAUGAAAGUAGGGUGCUGCAUGUGACGAAGCAUGUGGAGGCAUGUGGAUGUCACGCCCCAAACUUGGGGAGGCGUGGCUGGCACCCGGUGCCGCAUUAGCCUGAGCGAACCACUCUGUAACUCAUGAUCAUUUGACCAAAACUAGAAUAUACAUAGGUCGAGUUGGCUGAACUUAUUCCUUUUGUAACUAUCAUGGGCCAACAUGGCCACAACUCAUAAUGUACAACUGUAAGUGGGCGAACACUAUAUCAAUAAACUAUCGUUCUUAAAAUAUGAAUACAUAUGAGUCGUCAAGGCCUCUGACAUAUUGUACAAAAUGAACCUCUAUAUACAAAGCCUUUAAGAUUAUGCGACAUCAAAUAGAAUAGGGUACCAGCCUACCCAUAGUCUAUAGCAAAACUUUGACACUACGACUCAUAGACUUGGCUGCACUCCGAAUGAGAUGGAGUCUUACCGAUCCUUCGCUGAAUGCCAAUCUCGUCUACUAUGAGGGCUCGUCAAACUAUUUAUCUAUACCUACAGGCAUGAAUGCAGCUUUCCCAACAAAAAGAUGUCAGUAGGAAUAAUGUACUGAGUAUGUAAGGAAGAACUGAAACAUAACAAUAAGUCAAUAUUUCUUUAAAAGCAUAUAAGAAUCAACCCGAAUCUCUAAAAUGCCACCAUAUAUACAUAUUUAUCAUAUUUAUAUAUAUAAUGCUUCUCUUGACUGUUUCUAUUAUCCAUAUCGUAUGAUGCAUGACUGCCCAACUGAUUAGUGGUACCUGCCCGACCGGCCGUAGCGCGGUGGUAAAUGCAUGACUGCCCGACCGGCCGUAGCUCGGUGGUAAAUAUGUAACUGCCCAACCGGCCGUAGCUCGGUGGUAAAUGUAUAACUGCCCAACUGGCCGUAGCUCGGUGGUAAAUGAAUAUGCAUGUCUGCCCAACCGGCGAUAAAUAAUGAUACAUAACUACCCAACCGGCAGUAACUGCCCGACCGGCCGUAGCAUGGUGAUGAAUGCAUGAAGAUGCAUGUACAUGUAUCACUAUAUUAUAAACAUUAAUAUCUUUAUCAUAUACCUUACACAACUUCAUUCAACAUUUUAAUCAUAUUUAUUUCAUAACAUUAAUUCUAUUACUUAUUACACGUCAUUAUAACAUUAAUUCUAUUACUUAUUACACGUCAUUAUCUACUAUCACUAUUAAUCAAAAUCAAUUAUCUAAAACUACACCAAAAAACACCUAAUUCUAUUAAUAACCUACUGCCUUAACACAUUAUAAUUAUACUAUAUUGAACUAUAUACACAAUCAUAUAUCUUUUAUGUUAGUAACCCAAAAGUUGUCAAGAUAGCCACUGUUAACAGUGCAAUUAUCAGUCUAUGACAAUAUGUGGUAAUUGUCUUACAUUAAGUUGAAUGAGUUUCAUCAUAGUAUUUAUACAAUCAUACAUAUCACAACGUCAAACUACCUAUACAACUAAAUAAAAAUGCAUUGUAAACCUUUAUUAUGCAUGAAUCAUUACUUCAAAAUCAAUCUACAACAAUCUAAUGAUAUAUUAUAUUCAAAUUGAUAUUUUAUAACAUUUGGUGUUGUAACAAUGUAUAUUAUAUUAUAAUUUAUUAUGCUAUAGGUCAUAAUCAAUUUUCAAGUGUAACUUGUCACAAACAACCGCAAACUAUAAUAUUAAUAUGUUUCUACAAUCAAUUAUUGAUUAUAAUAUGACUACUGUGCUAUUAAAUAUCAUGUAAUGACAUAAUAGUUUAAGUCUAAUAUUACAAAUAAUCACGUUGGUUAGACUAUAUAAACUAUAUUUAUAAACAAAUCCCAACAAAUAUAUUUAUAACACAAGUUCUCUAUCAUAUACCUCAAUAGGGACUAGGGAUAUGUGUAGACAUGCUUGAAUAUCACUUUAUCGGAAUGAAUAAUAUAGGCAUCCUUAACUGCUAAGAGCAGAAUCACUUAUGGAAUAACAUUACGUUUACGUAUCGUUACUUGGAUCAUGUCAAAAGAAGGAAGGGAUAACCUUAAUAUACCUUAAUUGCUCGUAUGAGCUCGUAGAAGAUUAUUGUCUACGAACCUAGAUCAACUUCUUUAAAGCUUCCCGGCACCUUACUUCAUUACAAAGUAAUAUUCGGCUUGCUAAGAUUCAGAGGACAUCGACGUGAUAACCAUGACAUCGAUAUAGGAAGAUUACAAUAUUUGAUCUUGGAAGGAGGAGGAAAACGUGAACUAAAUUAAUGUAAGUUGAUAUAGAGAUGAAGACAAGAACAUUAUUACAUAUGGGUCUUGUAUAAGGCAGAAACUUUUCCUUUCUAAAGGCCUUAGCUAUUAAUUCUCA